CCUACGGGAGGCAGCAGUAGGGAAUCUUUCACAAUGGGCGAAAGCCUGAUGGAGCAACGCCGCGUGCAGGAUGAAGGCCUUCGGGUUGUAAACUGCUUUUAUAAGCGAGAAAUAUGAUGGUAACUUAUGAAUAAGGAUCGGCUAACUACGUGCCAGCAGCCGCGGUCAUACGUAGGAUCCGAGCAUUAUCCGGAGUGACUGGGUGUAAAGAGUUGCGUAGGUGGCAUAAUAAGUAGCUAGUGAAAUCUGGUGGCUCAACCAUUCAGACUAUUAGCGAAACUGUUAAGCUCGAGACCGUUAGGGGUAACUGGAAUUCGUAGUGUAGGGGUGAAAUGCGUAGAUAUUAGAAGGAACACCAAUAGCGUAGGCAGGUUACUGGAACGGUUCUGACACUAAGGCACGAAAGCGUAGGUAGCAAACGGGAUUAGAUACCCCAGUAGUC
RNAcentral lists this ribosomal RNA (442 nucleotides) under uncultured bacterium. Its description in RNAcentral is "partial 16S ribosomal RNA". It matches the Rfam family "Bacterial small subunit ribosomal RNA", at positions 338 to 795 of the family's 1533-position model. The record is from RNAcentral.